Long non-coding RNA from Quercus robur (English oak), 1390 nucleotides. RefSeq lists it as uncharacterized. NCBI's taxonomy places the organism in Eukaryota, Viridiplantae, Streptophyta, Magnoliopsida, Fagales, Fagaceae. The record is from RefSeq and is a predicted model, not a curated record. The transcript has 3 exons.
UUAUUUGUAAAUGAGUGUGAAUGAAAGAAAGUUGAAAGUGGGUGGGAUAUUUCUUUCCCUAGCCAUACACGUAUCCACCCCAAUUUUCCACUUCUCUUAUCUGAUUUUGCUGCCCCAAAAGUCUUCACACUUUUCUUAUUUUCUUGGCUGCAUCAGAUCAGAAGUCCAGCCCCUCUUUCUCUACUCCUUUUCCUCUUUCUUUGUUCUUCUUUCUCUCUUCUUCCUUUGCUUCUACACGGCAGCCCUCCCUUUCUCACCAACACAAUAUAUUCCUCUCUAAAGAAGAAAUUAAAGGGUUAACACUAAAAUUUCAGCUUCCAAGUUUGUGGGUGUUACCAGUAUCCAAGUUUAAGCUCCGUCGACUGUAGGCUCUCAGUUCCUCUGCUUUCAAGUAAGGGAUAAGUUAUAUAGGCAUUUGGUAAGUCAUGAGGUUAUUUUAAAAUAUAUUAUGCAUUAAAAUGUUUUUGAUUAGAGAUAUGACAUGUAAUAAUUAUUCUGACAAAGAUAUGUUCGUGAGCUUUCGAAAAACUUAUGUAUAUGAUUUAAGCAUAUUGAUGCUAUUAUUGAUUCCACGAACAUGAUGUUUAAAGAAAAGAAUGGAUAUGUUAUUAUUAUGAAAUGUUAUGCAAAAUAAGAAGUUUCAGUAUGAUGUAAAACUAUGAAAUGUUUUCGGGUUAUGUCCUCUGGUGAUCUGAACUCGGCUAGUAGGGGUUAAUUACUGGCUUUCCAUGGAAAAAUGUUAUAUGUUUGGCCAUUUAAAGUAGAGGAAAUGGGGCUACCUGUAACUCUAGGCCAUUUAAAGUAAAGGAAAUGGGGUUGCCCGUAACUCUAAUCUGAAUAAGGCCUUCUCCCCAAUGUGUACGGACGGCGGGGAGGAACAAAACCUAGAGGAGAUGUGCCAUCAGGCCUUCCAAAGGGGACAAUAUCAUACACAUAAGGGCACCCAAAUGUGAUGAGGCCUUUUCUGUACAGCUUAUCAGACAUGGACUAACCAAUAUGUUAUGAACAGCUAUGUUAUAUUAUUAAUCAUGAGAGAAUUAUUUUGUUUAAAUGCAUUGUGAAAAGUGAAAGCUCUCAUGGCAAGAAGAAGUUUAUAAUGAAAAGAAAAGCUGUUCAUUGAAGAUAAAAGUUUCUGAAAGUCUGUUAUGCUAUAAAGUUAGUAGGUUUUAUUUUGGAGCAGAGGGAGCCUUAGUCGAGUUUGGAAGGAGCUGGUUUUAGUUUUAUAUGUAUAGAUCCUAAAUUAGCAAAAUGAUGUUUAGAUUUGUAGCAUUGUUUAUUUUAGGAUCUAAUGAAAGUGUAUACCUUAAAGUAUUAAGAGAUGUAUUAUGUUAAAGUAUUAAGAGAUGUAUUAUGUGAAAGUAUGAAAUUAAAUGACUGGUGGAUUAUGUUA